This 7547-nucleotide long non-coding RNA is filed under the name Mytilus galloprovincialis (Mediterranean mussel). Lineage: Eukaryota; Metazoa; Mollusca; Bivalvia; Mytilida; Mytilidae. The record is from RNAcentral.
ACAAUAUCGAAGUUUGUGUUUGCUAUGUUGGUGUUGUAAAUAAUUCAUAGUAACUUUUAACAAUAUAGGAUCAUAUGUGUGUACAUGUUUAUGUUUAAUUGUAGGAAUGUGUUGAAGUGUAUUGAAUAAGUUUUAAACAAAGACAAAUGGAGAAAAGGUAAGUCAAUAUAUACAAUUUCUAAGAUAAUUGGAUUAUGUCGUUAUUUCAAACUUUGUGUCUUAAUUUUCAUGUUCAUAAAUUUGUUCAAUCUUAAAAUAUCAGUAUCAUUUAUAUUGUUCACUUAUAGAAAUAUUGUUGAGACGGUUUACUUCUAAAUGAAGGGAAACGUACUUUAUCGCUAUUCAAAAGUCAUAAAUCGGUUUAAAGAUAACAAAUCCGGGUUUCAAACUAAAACCGAGGGAAAUGCAUUAACUAUGAGAAUAAAAAAACGAAACAACAGAACACUGAAGUGCAACAAACGACAAUGUAACAUUCACAACAACGAACUAUUAGAUAACAUCUGCCAUAUUCCUGACUUAGGGGUGUAUUCUUCGGACGUUUCAGUCUCGUUGAAAUCUAGUUCUGGAUUUUUUUCCAAAGCAUGUGAAACAAGUGAAAAAUAUCAAUGAAUUUUAAAAAUAUGAUAAUCGAACAUAACUCUGUGAAAAAAAUGUGUAUUUACAAUGAAUAGUUUUUGAGUAAUCCAGUUUUGAAAUUUUACGACCAAUCAAGUCAGUCUUUUUAGCCAAAUGUUUUAUAAAAUGGGUGAGGGGUACAAAAAAAUAUUUUACAAGAAUCAUGUACAUCCUAUAUCAUUGCUCUUUUCAAAUUUCUUAGAUAUGUAUUUUGUCAAUCAUUUAUAACAAAAAAGUUGAAAUAAUAUGCAUUUUGUUCAAUAAAUGAGAAAAAUCACAAAUUUACAAAAUUGACAGAAUGGUAAAUUUGAUAUAAAAAGGCAUCAGAAUAUGAUAAAACUUUCUUAUAUUAACACCUACCUAUAGUUUUUUUAAGUUAAAUUUAUUUGUUACGCUUCAUCUUUAUUGAAAGUAUGAAUAAAAUUUAAUUGUGGAACUGUGAUUUUUUUCACGAUAACAGCCCACAAAUAGGUAAAAUUUAUGAAAAAUGGGAAAAUCAUCAACAUUGGGUAUUUUUAAAGGGCCGUAGCAAUAAAAGAAGUGCACCACCGUAUGAAUUUUCCUUCACCAAUUAUUUUUUUACAGUCAUAUAAACCCCAAAAUCAGGUUAAGAAAAAAGUUAAAUUCUAGAUAUGUUUGGCUCCUCAGAGGUUUACAUCCUUAAGGUAGCACAAUACACAGAUUUUAUCCAAUUCCCUAGUUUUAACAUGCUGUAACUUUCUUUAUACAUUGUUAUAAUGCUUGGAAAUUUAUAAAAGUGGUAUUUAUGGAUAACUAACAGAUUACUCUUUCAAAUUAAUACAAUGUUAGAAUUAUUCAACAAUAAUGUAAUCAAUUAUUAUGUUAACUGUGUCUACAAAAUUUUACAAGAAAUUGCCACUUUCAAUUGUUAUGUUAAAUAUGUUAAAUAUACCGCUAAAAUGACAAGACUACAUGACGAGAAUACUGCACAAAUAAAUGCAAGAACAUCAUAGACAAUGAAAUAUAUAGAUAAAUAAUAUAAUCAUAGAUUUUGACAUGUUAACCACAGAAUAACAACGGAUAACUAAAAUUAUUUUAGGACAGUACACAAAAACAACUUAAUACAAAUACGAAUUGUGUGUAUAACCCAGUCUGUGUGUCGUAGCUGGACACAUUUCUGGAUGGAUACAAUUAAAUGUAUCGCUGGAGUCUUGUUAAAUUAUUCGAAGCUGUUGAGUGAAAAAAGGAUUAUUGCCUUGACAAAAGUAAUCUUUUCCGAUACAUAAAAUAUUGAAUAUUUGAUUAAAAUUGAACACCGGUAAAGUACAGCUGCCUUUAUUAAACAAUCAUUAACAAAUUAAAAAAAAAACAAUGCUUUGUAGAUGUCAUGCUUUCGAACGCUUUUUGGGGAUUAAUCUUUAUGAGGAGAACUCAAACCCGAACAAUGAUAUAAUUGUACAAAUUGUGACUUGGAUGGAAAUGUCUCAUAUGCACUCAAUCCACAUCCUCUAUUGAUCGAUUGUCAGAUUAUCCCCAUCAUUCGAGAAAAAAAACAUCAUAUGUAUUAGUUUACUGUCGUAAGCUCUAGGUUUAUUGAAAUUUAAAACUGAUUUUGCAUACAUGACAGUUGUAGGUAAUUGUCAAUAUCACCAUGUUCUGAAAUAACAAUUCACAUAUUUUUAUAUUCAAACGAAAAUUAAUCUUAACCUUAAUUUAAAAUAUGAUCGUACGCUUCAAACGAAAAAAAUUAUCCAAUUCUUGAUAACAGAUUGAGGUUAUACUAUAUAUAUAUAUAUAUAUUUAUCUGUAAUUUUAGCCACAGCUUGAGAUAUUAGGAGAUUUUUACACACUCCUUCUUAUGUCGCUGCAUAUCAUUCCAGUUUUGAACCGACGUUUUUUGUCACCCUAUUUUUGUCUUAACAAUGGAUGGGAAAAUGCACAUAACUUCAAUUUAUACUAGAUACAGAGUGUCAAGGUGUUAAACAGUGAUGCAUUGAUCCACAAACAAAAAUGAACCUACAUUGAAAUGUUCUUUGUCAUCACGAAUUAAAAAUAGACUUGUCCAGAUAAUAUUAGUAGACUUGACCUUAAUGAAUAUUUGAGUAUCCUUGCGUCUAAAAUACUAUAUCGUUAUCUUUUGAAACAUUUCGUGAUGUCACCAUAUCCAAAAAAAAUAUGAUCUUUAAACCAUUGAAAAGCAUGAUUGCUCUAGCGGAGAGCUAUUUGAAGCACCUGAGAUCACCUUCCAGUUUUUUAUGGGGGUAGUGUUUCUUAGUCGUCAGAUUUCUAUGUUGUGCCUUUUGUUCUAUUAUUUGUCUGCUUGUCUUUUUCUGAUUUAGCCAUGGCAUUUUCAUUUUUUUUUCGAUCUAUGAUAUUGUAUGUCCUAAUACAUAAUUGAUAAAUAGUCCGUAUCAACUUCACAAAUAAUACACGAUGGUCCUGAAGUAUAGAUUAUAAGUUUAUCAUCUUAAUAACCAGAUAACGUGUUAUAGUAUUCUUUUAUUUGUCGUUAUGACAAUUACCUUUACUGUUUAGUCUGUUUUUGGUUAUAAUCCACUUAAGGUGAAUAUGUACUUAUACAUCCCGUCAUUGUGUUAUUGUACUAUGGUAAAAUUUUGUAUUCUUGUCUGUCUUUUUGUUUUUAUAGUGAUUAAGAUUGCAAUGCUGACCCCAAUUUUUUACAUUUUUACCUAAUAUGUCUGCUGGUUUGGUUCAUAAAUCGUUGUCAAUAUAACGGAUUUUGAUGCAACUGGCAUACAAGUGAGAGGUUUAGCUAGAUAUGAAUCCAGGUUCUAAGCUUUUGAUUUUGCUAUUUGAUUAGGGUCUUUUGAAUUUUCCUCCAAGUUCAGUACUUUUGUGAUUUAAUUUUUUUAACUUCGUGUCGUGAGCAACGAUUUUAACUGUUCAUUUUAAAAUGUACAAAUGAGAAGUUUAGCUAGCUAUAAAACCAUGUUUAAUCCACCAAUUUCUACGUAAGAAAACGCCUGUAACAAGUCUGGAAUAUUGAAGUUAUUUUCCAUUCGUUUGAUGUGUUUGAGCUUUUGAUUUUGUCAUUUGAUAAGGUACUUUCCGUUAUAAAUUUCCAUUUCGGUUCGUAUGAUUUUAAAGUUGCCUAGGUUAAAAUAUAUUCAGACAAAUAAAAAGAAAUACUUAUUCCAAAGAGGAUAUUUAAAAACGGUAUAUAAAAUGAAGGAAAUAUCCUUUAUUCUGCAAUUGGGUGUUCUACUAUACAGAUACAGUCCUCUACAUAUAUCGCUAUGCUGUAUCUGUAUACUAUACACAUAUCGCGUUAAGGCUCCGCCCGCUGCCGGACUGAGUAUUGUAUGAACCUGCGUGACCUCAGAAUGUGUAUUGCAGUCGCAUUCCAAUGACGUAUAAAUUGUGAAUUAACGAUUUCUUUUACACGUUCUGUUUGUUUUCAAACAUUUCUUAAGACCAAUAAGAAUCACACCACAUUUCUGAUAACUUACACAUAUGAACAGCAGUCUUUUAUACGAUGACAACUAUCGAUUUCAAAACUGUUCGUAAAAAUUGUUCUCAUGGACAAAGAACAAAUUCGCAAUCAAAGAAAAUUUUGGACCAACCACACAAAUAUUUCGGAUCUAUUUCUAUUUAAAAAAACAACGGCAGACAUUAUCUGUUAACCAAGCUCUGUUCUUUACCUAUAAAUAGGUAAAUAAAAUUCUAGAGGAUUGCAACAUAAUUCCAUAUUGCACUCCUUAGUAUGAAAUCGUUCAAAUCAUACUGUCAUAUUGUUAUUCUAAACUCGCCCUGAAGAUCAUAAAACACAUUUUAUUAAAAUAAAGUAUGUCAAUAAAGGUUUUUAUUUUGUAAAUAUUGCCGGUAUUCCUGGAUAUUUUGAUAAAACUGAACUCCCUCUUAUUUGUUAUAUUUACAAGAAAUCUACCCGGAAAUAUGUGUUUAGUUAUAGCUAAUUGUGUAAAGAUGUAAAUAUCAGUGAAAAUCGACUAUGCCAUGUAAUUGCAGUAAUUCCGAAAACAAUUAUGGCUCCAUUUUCCAUGUCAAAACAGGAGACUUUAACACCGUUCGUGACCGAUAGUUAAAAUCAUACCUCAGUAAAGGACCUUAAUAGCGUUCCCCGUCAAUUAUAAAUUGGAAUGAGUGUCGUUAUAUCAUCGACGACUCACUCCGUACUUACUGUUUGAAACGGGUAAAACGGGAAAAAGAUGGCAAAACAGCUUUGGACUCUUUUUUUUUAAUUCAGUAAUGUAGAUAGUUGAUAUUCGUAUACAACAUCGCAGAUCAAACAUAAACUAAAAGAACUAGCCAAGGAAUUUGUUUUUGUCCCAGCUGAUAAAGCUGCUAAUAAUAUCAUUAUUGUUUGAAAUAAAUUUUGUAUUGAGGUUCUGCAAAAGGAAAUCACUAAUUCACCAACAUUACAACUAACUUCAUUUUUAGAAAACGACAUCUGUAACAAACACAAACUUUUAUCUACUUCUUUACAAGCAGAACCAAAUACAAUGAAAGUCUCAACUAUGUACUGGCUUCAGAAGCUACACAAAAAUCCUUACAAAUAUAGAUUUAUUUCAUCUCCAAGCCAUUGUUCCACUACUUAAUUGUCUAUCAUACUUACUAGUACACUUGGUACAAUAAAAAACCUGAAAAUAAAUUGUUCAAAUAAGGCCUUUCAAAAAAGUGGAAUUAAUUACUUUUGAAGGGUCACAAACUCGUUGGAAGUACUUGAUAAAUGCAUGCAUAUAUUGGUGAUUUUGAAACUGUUCAAAGUUUUAAUUUUCUACCCUAUAUACCACUUUGUCUCAUAUUCCUAUUAAGAAAACAAUCACAUUCCUAAUUAACUGGGCAUUUAAAAAGUCAGAAUGCGAUUACAUAUUCAAACUCUUUUAGGUCAUUUUUAGUAGCAAUAACAAAAGAUAUGUAAUUGGACAUGCUUUGAUACUAUAUAUUCGCUUGAAUUUUUACUUGAUAACAUUUUCGUUCGCUUUGGAGAUUCCGUAUAUCGGCAAGUUAUUGGAAUUCCAAUGGAAACUAACUAAUUUAUUGCGGACCUGUUUUUGUAUUGUUAUGAGUUACAUUUAUGACUAAAUUAGUAAAGACCCAUGAAACAACAUUUGAUACAAAAAUUUAACAACACUUUAGAUAUUUGGAUGAUAUAUUGGCUCUUAAUAAUGACGACUUCAGUUUGUAUACUAAAGAAAGUUAUCCCGUUGAACUAACUUUAAAUAAAGCUCAUUCUAACAUCAAUGAACAAUGACCACUGCCCUUUCCUCGAUCUUGAUACUGAUCAUUAACGGAAGCUUAUACAACUUUAUGAUAAAAGAGAUGAUUUUUCAUUUCUUAUCGUUAAUUAUCUUUUUAGGUGGUGACGUUCUUGUCACCAUCUUAUGGUUUUUAUAUAUCUCAACUUGUACGAUUCGCUCGUGUAUGUAACAACGUAUAAGAUUUUAGUGAGAGACAUUUAUGUAUUCCUGAAAAGUUUUACACCAGAGUUUUCGAUGUCACAAACUAGUCAAAACAUUUACUAAAUUUUAUCAUCGGUAUAAGGAAAUAAUUCGUAAAUAUAACUCAACAUGCAGAUAUCUUAUACGUUCAGUUAUUUCACAUCCAAUCUAUUAUGGUAAUAUUCUUUACAAAGCACAAAAAUGUCAGUAUUCACCUCAAAAGCUUACAAAACCUUUAAACAGACUUUGAUUUAAAUAUUGAUUCACUUAUAGGGUCUUUGCAUCGGAACUAAACCCAUUUAUUUUUGUUCUUCUCAUAUAUUUUAUGAUAGUAUGAUACUAAACCCCUAACGGGAGGGACUGUGCCUGAUAUUCAUUGAUGAAGACUAUCUUCAAUCAGUUUGAUUGAGGUCUCGUACUGGCAUGUCAGUUAACUGCUAGUAGUCUGUUGUUGUUUGUGCAUUAUUGUCAUUUUGUUUAUUUUCUUUUGUUGCAUCUUCUGACAUCGGACUCUUGAACUGAAUUUUAAUGUGCGUAUUGUUAUGCGUUUACUUUUCUACAUUGGCUAGAUGUGUAGGGGAGGGUUGAGAUCUCAUAAACAUGUUUAACCCCGCAGCAAUUUUGCGCCUGUCUUAAGUCACGAGCUUCCGGCCUCUGUUAGUCUUGUAUGAUUUUUAAUUUUAGUUUCAUGUGUAUAAUUCGGAGUUUAGUAUGACGUCCAUUAUCACUGAACUAGUAUACAUAUUUUCAAGGGAUAAUUAUUCACCUUGAGCGAUGUAUUAUUGUUGACCAUUCAAGAUUCUUUUGUUUGCGAACCCGACUUCAGCUGAAUAUGUGAUUACUGUAUCGUAUUACUACACAGGCUUCAAGGGAUUUUAAAUCGAAAAUAAAUACAACACAUGUGUUUUUGUGUCUUUCAAAACACAAAUAAUAUACAGAAAUAAUUGCAGGAUAAAGACAAUAACUGUUUAGUGUCUUUGAAUAUCGGUUGUAUUUAUACUCGGCUCGAAACAGGUGUAGUAGCUCGCUAAAAGCUCGCAUACACCUUGUUUCCUAGCCUCGUACACAUACAGGUGAUAUCUAAAGACACUAACCAGUUAAUGUCUAUUUAUUAUACAUUUCGAACGUUUAUAGGAAACUGUUAGGGACGUAGUGUUCUGUAUUUUAUAUUUCUCUUUUUAAACGUGACAUUUGUCAUUUCUGAAUUGACAAGUCACAGAUCGGUUCCAGGUUAACAUUUCCCAGUUCAAACCUGACAGUUCCGCUUUGACAAUUUUUUCCAUUCCACAUUGACAUUUCUCAAUUCCAUCUAAUUAGGUCUCAUUUCAAACUUGAGAAUUCACAUCGUCAAUUUGAAUAUUUUCACUUCAAAGUUACAACUCGACAGUUCCGAGUCGACAAUUCUCCUUUCCAGUGUUGACUACUGGUAUGGUGUUGUGAAUAACUCACAAUAAUAUUUAACAUAUUAUGAAUAUAUGUGUGUACAUGUGUAUACUUAAUUGUAGAAAGGAUUUGAAUUGUAUUGUAUACUGGUGUAACAAAGACACAGGG